This 481-nucleotide ribosomal RNA is filed under the name uncultured bacterium. RNAcentral describes it as "partial 16S ribosomal RNA". It matches the Rfam family "Bacterial small subunit ribosomal RNA", at positions 28 to 507 of the family's 1533-position model. The record is from RNAcentral.
GAUGAACGCUGGCGGCGUGCUUAACGCAUGCAAGUCGAACGAAGCACUUUAUUUGAUUUCCUUCGGGACUGAUUAUUUUGUGACUGAGUGGCGGACGGGUGAGUAACGCGUGGGUAACCUGCCUUGUACAGGGGGAUAACAGUUGGAAACGGCUGCUAAUACCGCAUAAGCGCACGGCAUCGCAUGAUGCAGUGUGAAAAACUCCGGUGGUAUAAGAUGGACCCGCGUUGGAUUAGCUAGUUGGUGAGGUAACGGCCCACCAAGGCGACGAUGCAUAGCCGACCUGAGAGGGGGACCGGCCACAAUGGAACUGAGACACAGCCCAAAAUCGGACGGGAGGGAGCGGUGUGGAAUAUUGCACAAUGAGCGAAAGCAUGAUGCAGCGACGUCGCGUGAGAGAAGAAGUAGUUCGGUAUGUAAAGCUCUAUCAGCAGGGAAGAUAAUGACGGUACCUGACUAAGAAGCACCGGCUAAAUACGUG